Molecule: ribosomal RNA, 254 nt
Filed under: uncultured bacterium
Lineage: Bacteria
Description: partial 16S ribosomal RNA
Rfam family: Bacterial small subunit ribosomal RNA
Source: RNAcentral
CACGUGGGGGGCAAGCGUUGUCCGGAUUUAUUGGGCGUAAAGAGCUCGUAGGCGGCUCAGUAAGUCAGGUGUGAAACCUCCAGGCUCAACCUGGAGACGCCACCUGAUACUGCUGUGGCUAGAGUCCGGUAGGGGAGCGUGGAAUUCCUGGUGUAGCGGUGAAAUGCGCAGAUAUCAGGAGGAACACCAGCGGCGAAGGCGGCGCUCUGGGCCGGAACUGACGCUGAGGAGCGAAAGCGUGGGUAGCAAACAGG